GUCAAGGCCAACAUCAUACCCAUUUCUACAAAAUAUUGAAACUAAAAACCUUUAUUACAUGUUGGAAGCAUGGCAUUCUUCUGUUAUUCGCUGCAUUUAUUCUUCAUGAUAGAGGUACAAACCGAGGCCAAAUCUUGCACAAGCCUUGCAGAAAGCUAUUUCCUCCGCAGCAGCAACAGGAUCUUCAAUAUUGCUAUCGCUGGCUGAUACCGUUCCAGUCGAUUCACGGUGUGCCUCUCCAUCCGAUCCUCUAACGGUCACACGAUAAACCACAGUCACACUACCAUUGUCUGAGAAUAUGACAUCUCGUAUUUCUCCACACCAUCCAGGGG
This 332-nucleotide unclassified non-coding RNA is filed under the name Hevea brasiliensis (rubber tree). The record is from RNAcentral. Lineage: Eukaryota; Viridiplantae; Streptophyta; Magnoliopsida; Malpighiales; Euphorbiaceae.